RNAcentral lists this non-coding RNA (30 nucleotides) under Mus musculus (house mouse). Lineage: Eukaryota; Metazoa; Chordata; Mammalia; Rodentia; Muridae. The record is from RNAcentral.
UGGCAAGCCACAAAUGCAGAGCAUGAAUUC